UGCUAUAUCUACUUUUUAUGAUUGUAGUUUGUCAUUCAAAGCUUCUUAUAAGUGCAAAACAUCACAAUACCAGUAAAAAACAUCAUCACAUUAUGCAUUCAUCAUUCAUUACAUAAUUAGUCUUUAAGAGACAGAAGACUCAUUGAUCAUUCAUUACAUAGCUAGUCUUUUAGAAACAGAAGACUCAUUAAACUCUUAAUCAUUAGCGAUACAAAACAGUUUCAAAAACUUAUUCUUCCAUCCAAGGUUUGGGUUCAAACGUUUCAUCUCAUCUUCACUUUCAUUUGAUUUGCAGCCUCUUUUUUCUCUAAUUCCAUACAGAGUUCCAAAAUUUAUGUUUCUCAGUUCAUUGAUCACUCUUUUUUUUCUCUCUUUUUCAUCUCUAGCUUCAAUCAACGCUCCUUUUGGUGACCCAUUGACUUCCCCUUCAUCGAACCAUUCAAAGCACAUGCAAUGUUCAUUGCCCAUUUCCUAUACCCAAAGAGAUACAAGAUGUAGUCACUCCAAAAAAUUUCCUAACAAAUUGUGAGUAGAAGAAUUGUGUACCUUAUACAGUUCACAACCAAAACACUUUCGACCAGGAUUCUUAUUUUUCCACGAAGUGAAAAUCUUGGCGGGCAACCCACAAUCACACAUUC
RNAcentral lists this long non-coding RNA (638 nucleotides) under Brassica napus (rape). RNAcentral's name for it is "long non-coding RNA (BNAP_LNC023482)". The record is from RNAcentral. Lineage: Eukaryota; Viridiplantae; Streptophyta; Magnoliopsida; Brassicales; Brassicaceae.